UGGGGAAUAUUCCGCAAUGGGCGCAAGCCUGACGGAGCAACGCCGCGUGUGUGAUGAAGGUUCUUGGAUUGUAAAACACUGUUGUCGGGGAAGAACGACCUUGACUCUAACAUAGUCAAGGAGUGACGGUACCCGACGAGGAAGCCCCGGCUAACUCCGUGCCAGCAGCCGCGGUAAUACGGGGGGGGCAAGCGUUGUUCGGAAUCACUGGGCGUAAAGGGCGUGUAGGCGGUUAUGUAAGUCAGACGCGAAAUCCCUUGGCUCAACCAAGGAACUGCGUUUGAAACUAGAUGACUUGAGUUCAGGAGAGGAAAGUGGAAUUCCAAGUGUAGCGGUGAAAUGCGUAGAUAUUUGGAAGAACACCAGUGGCGAAGGCGGCUUUCUGGCCUGAAACUGACGCUGAGGCGCGAAAGCUGGGGAGCAAACAGGAUUAGAUACCCUGGUAGUCCACGCCGUAAACGAUGAGUGCUAGCCGUUGGGGGGCAUAGCCCUUCAGUGGCGCAGCUAACGCAUUAAGCACUCCGCCCGGGGAGUACGGUCGCAAGAUUA
RNAcentral lists this ribosomal RNA (549 nucleotides) under uncultured bacterium. RNAcentral describes it as "bacterial SSU rRNA". It matches the Rfam family "Bacterial small subunit ribosomal RNA", at positions 355 to 896 of the family's 1533-position model. The record is from RNAcentral.